UUAACAUAUUCUCAAUGCUCUGC
Molecule: non-coding RNA, 23 nt
Filed under: Arabidopsis thaliana (thale cress)
Lineage: Eukaryota; Viridiplantae; Streptophyta; Magnoliopsida; Brassicales; Brassicaceae
Source: RNAcentral